RNAcentral lists this ribosomal RNA (494 nucleotides) under uncultured bacterium. RNAcentral describes it as "partial 16S ribosomal RNA". It matches the Rfam family "Bacterial small subunit ribosomal RNA", at positions 30 to 507 of the family's 1533-position model. The record is from RNAcentral.
AUUGAACGCUGGCGGCAUGCUUUACACAUGCAAGUCGAACGGCAGCGGGGAGGAGCUUGCUUCUCUGCCGGCGAGUGGCGAACGGGUGAGUAAUACAUCGGAACGUGUCGAGAAGAGGGGGAUAACCACCCGAAAGGGUGGCUAAUACCGCAUAAAUUCCGAGGAAGAAAGAUGGGGACAUGGGAAUAGGCCUAGCGCUUUUUGAGCGGCCGAUGUCGGAUUAGCUAGUUGGUGAGGUAAAGGCUCACCAAGGCGAAGAUCUGUAGCGGGUCUGAGAGGAUGAUCCGCCACACUGGGACUGAGACACGGCCCAGACUCCUACGGGAGGCAGCAGUGGGGAAUUUUGGACAAAGGGGGCAACCCUGAUCCAGCCAUGCCGCGUGUAUGAAGAAGGCCUUAGGGUUGUAAAGUACUUUUGUUAGGGAAGAAAAGUCAGCUGUGAAUAAUGGCUGAUACUGACGGUACCUAAAGAAUAAGCACCGGCUAACUACGUG